RNAcentral lists this ribosomal RNA (514 nucleotides) under Pseudoalteromonas sp. Its description in RNAcentral is "bacterial SSU rRNA". It matches the Rfam family "Bacterial small subunit ribosomal RNA", at positions 138 to 653 of the family's 1533-position model. The record is from RNAcentral. Lineage: Bacteria; Pseudomonadati; Pseudomonadota; Gammaproteobacteria; Alteromonadales; Pseudoalteromonadaceae.
GGGGGACAACAGUUGGAAACGACUGCUAAUACCGCAUAAUGUCUACGGACCAAAGGGGGCUUCGGCUCUCGCCUUUAGAUUGGCCCAAGUGGGAUUAGCUAGUUGGUGAGGUAAUGGCUCACCAAGGCGACGAUCCCUAGCUGGUUUGAGAGGAUGAUCAGCCACACUGGGACUGAGACACGGCCCAGACUCCUACGGGAGGCAGCAGUGGGGAAUAUUGCACAAUGGGCGCAAGCCUGAUGCAGCCAUGCCGCGUGUGUGAAGAAGGCCUUCGGGUUGUAAAGCACUUUCAGUCAGGAGGAAAGGGUGGUGGUUAAUACCCGUCAUGUGUGACGUUACUGACAGAAGAAGCACCGGCUAACUCCGUGCCAGCAGCCGCGGUAAUACGGAGGGUGCGAGCGUUAAUCGGAAUUACUGGGCGUAAAGCGUACGCAGGCGGUUUGUUAAGCGAGAUGUGAAAGCCCCGGGCUCAACCUGGGAACUGCAUUUCGAACUGGCAAACUAGAGUGUGAUA